Molecule: ribosomal RNA, 425 nt
Filed under: uncultured bacterium
Lineage: Bacteria
Description: bacterial SSU rRNA
Rfam family: Bacterial small subunit ribosomal RNA
Source: RNAcentral
UCGGGAAUAUUGGGCAAUGGAGGCAACUCUGACCCAGCAACGCCGCGUGAAGGAAUAGAAGGUCUUCGGAUUGUAAACUUCUGUCGCGAGGGACGAAGAAUGACGGUACCUCGUAAGAAAGCCCCGGCUAACUACGUGCCAGCAGCCGCGGUAAUACGUAGGGGGCAAGCGUUGUCCGGAAUGACUGGGCGUAAAGGGAGUGUAGGUGGCAUAAUAAGUUAUAUGUGAAAGCCCGCGGCUUAACUGCGGAACUGCAUAUAAAACUGUUAAGCUUGAGUGCAGGAGAGGUAAGCGGAAUUCCUAGUGUAGCGGUGGAAUGCGUAGAUAUUAGGAAGAACACCAGAGGCGAAGGCGGCUUACUGGACUGUAACUGACACUGAGGCUCGAAAGCGUGGGGAGCAAACAGGAUUAGAUACCCUGGUAGU